UUCGUUAUUAACUGACCGCACUUCUCUUGUUUUUUCGUUGACUUUAGAUAAUUGCAAGAAACAAAGAUUGAAAUAUAUAACUAUGGGAGUGUACGGGAGAUAAUGUGUUUUAAAACGUCUAAAAUAAUGUCUAUAAAAUUGUUAUGGCAAAUUUUAGUAUCCGCAAUUCCGUUUGCGAAGAAAUGUGACCACGCAGAGAAUUUCUUCGAUGAUUUUAUUGUUCGAGUAUUUUGUAAACAUUAUAUAGACACGUUUGGAGGAGGGUACGUGAGAUUUAUUUGAUUUUUACCACAACUUGAUAUGGAGUGAGAAGAUGUUGGUCAAGAUAAUACAAAACGCGGUCGCGAAGAAUGUUAAUGGGGACCUAUUGCAGUUUUGUAUGCAGGAAGUGUGGCGCGUCCUGUCUACCGUUGCGGUCCGGCGCCUGUCGAAGAGAAAAAUGGAGGAAAAAAAAGAAGAAGAAGAAGAACAUCAACAACAACAAAAAACUGGAGAGCAAUGGGAUUUUUGCGUGCAAUGAAAUCUGUUUCAUGAAGGCUCACAUAUGAGAAUUGUUGAGUACCUGGUUUUUUUUUUAUCUCGGGAAGGAUCGCGGAGCAAACAUUGGAUCUGUUUCUCUGAAGAAGUAAGACUCGACUGAGGGUAAAAUGAUCAAGUAUUUAAAUGCGGAAGUACUGAACAGCGACUUACAAAAAAGAACAAUGACAAAACGAUUGGAUUCACUUGGACAAAAUUUUGGAAUUGGAACAAUGGAAUAUUAUUCGAAAUUCUUAAUUAUCGUAACGUAAAGGUCAAGAGUUUAAUAAGUCUUUGAAAUUCCGUAUUCGAUAUUGAAUAUAGAGCUUCUUUUUCACGGAGAUAACAUCAAUAACAAUUUGUAAAGGCGCAGUGGUCAAUAAAAUUUUUAGAAGGAUACAUAGAGAGAGAGAGAGAGAUAAGAAAAGAGGAAACGAGAUUUUUUUCUCUCUUUUCAAAUAGUAAUUAAAUAGAAUGAAUGAUGGAUAGUCUUUGAGACAAAGUAUAAUAUAAAUUGAAAUAAAAUGCAGGUCUUCUUUUCGAUAAAAAAAAAAAAUAUUACGAGACGAAGAUUGUUUUUUUCAAGUACUCGAAGACAUCUCGAUAAGGUGCGAUGGAGGAAAAUUAGAAAGUGGAAAAUUAAGUGUAGAUAAAAAUAGUCGGAUGUCUUGUCGUAUAGAUUUAUAGAGAUAUCAAUGCGUGUUUUAUCGGCAGCAAAAAAAAAGAUUGUUUUUUUUUCUUCUUUCAAUGCUUGAUUUGUGAGAAACAUUUUUCAACCCUUGGAAGAAAUAAGAAAAGUUAUUCACGAACUA
Molecule: long non-coding RNA, 1328 nt
Organism: Leptopilina heterotoma
Lineage: Eukaryota; Metazoa; Arthropoda; Insecta; Hymenoptera; Figitidae
Exons: 6
Source: RefSeq, a predicted model, not a curated record